RNAcentral lists this ribosomal RNA (560 nucleotides) under uncultured Glomus. Its description in RNAcentral is "SSU rRNA". It matches the Rfam family "Eukaryotic small subunit ribosomal RNA", at positions 546 to 1106 of the family's 1831-position model. The record is from RNAcentral. Lineage: Eukaryota; Fungi; Glomeromycota; Glomeromycetes; Glomerales; Glomeraceae.
AAUUGGAGGGCAAGUCUGGUGCCAGCAGCCGCGGUAAUUCCAGCUCCAAUAGCGUAUAUUAAAGUUGUUGCAGUUAAAAAGCUCGUAGUUGAAUCUCGGGAUCAAUAUUUCGGUCAUGCCGUUGGUAUGCACUGUUAUCAUUGAUUUCUCACCUUCUAAAGAACCGUAAUGCCAUUAAUUUGGUGUUACGGGGAAUUAGGACUGUUACCUUGAAAAAAUUAGAGUGUUUAAAGCAGGCUCACGCUUGAAUACAUUAGCAUGGAAUAAUGAAAUAGGACAUCCGAUUCUAUUUUGUUGGUUUCUAGGAUCGAUGUAAUGAUUAAUAGGGAUAGUUGGGGGCAUUAGUAUUCAAUUGUCAGAGGUGAAAUUCUUGGAUUUAUUGAAGACUAACUACUGCGAAAGCAUUUGCCAAGGAUGUUUUCAUUAAUCAAGAACGAAAGUUAGGGGAUCGAAGACGAUCAGAUACCGUCGUAGUCUUAACCAUAAACUAUGCCGACUAGGGAUCGGAUGAUGUUAAUUUUUUAAUGACUCAUUCGGCGCCUUACGGGAAACCAAAGUGU